GUCAGUUUGGCCGAGUGGUUAAGGCGUUAGACUUGAACUACCUGGACUACGUCCUCAAUGUCUCAUAAUCUAAUGGGUUCGCCCGCGUAGGUUCGAACCCUGCAGCUGACG
Molecule: transfer RNA, 111 nt
Organism: Penicillium griseofulvum
Lineage: Eukaryota; Fungi; Ascomycota; Eurotiomycetes; Eurotiales; Aspergillaceae
Rfam family: tRNA
About the family: Transfer RNA (tRNA) molecules are approximately 80 nucleotides in length.
Source: Rfam